CCCCGCUGCCCCCCGGGCGGAGGUUGUGCCUCGAAGCGGCCCGCCCUUGUGGUGAGGGACGCGGCGGGUAACGGGGUUUGCCUGCCUCCCCCUCGGGGGACCCUCGGCCCCGCGGGGUGCUGCCGGCUGGGCGCCUCCCGCCUCGGGGCUCCGGCGGGUCUGGUGCCCGGCUCCGUCCUUGGCCUGCCGGCCGCCGCGGGGCAGCGGCGUCGCGCCCGUUGGUCCUCUCCCUCGGCCCCUGCUUCCCCUUCCAUUGCCCGUCUUCGUUCCCACCUUUGUGUCCCGAGCUGACGUAACCCGGGUCAGUUUUGCCGCUUCUUUUGCCAUUCAGGGCAGCAGCGAGAUGACUGCUGUGACCCAAAAGUCUGCUUUCUGUUUUUUUUUUAAUUACUAUUUUUUGGCCGCUGCUUGACAUGACUGAUGGCAGCAGCGUGAGCCAGCCCUCGGCAGAUUCACUUUCCGAAAUGGAAAGCUGUCUGGUUUAAAGACCUCUGACUCAUCAAGGGAACAAACAAUUCGAUCACGUGCGAGGGCUCAGAAACGCCCAAAUGCUGAAGGACCCGGGUGAGUCUGGGGAGGCCUCGGCGGGAGGCGCGACUGGGUCCUUCCAAACUGUCUCGUAGGUGAUGGCUGCCGCCGUGGGGUACGCGCGCCUCGAGGAGAAGCAGCUCCCCAGCCAAGGGGGCACUGCGACCUGGAAGCCCAGGAAAGAAUGUUUACCGAAGAAUAUUCCAAAUAUUGCUGAUAGCGAGGCUCAAGAAAGUGAAUUCUCUGAUAUAUCUCACUAUGAAAAAGAUGUUAGUGGAUCUUCAGUUGAAUCUGCUCACUUCUGCUCUGAUCUGGAAGACUGGGAUGGUGAAGCAUCCAGUGUGCCUGGGGCUGCAGUUUUUCCUGAGCUUCAAACUGCUGCUGAGUAUGAGGUGGAGGAUUGGGAUAAAGAGUUGGAAGAUUCUGAAUUUAAUCCUUAUGAUGCUGGCGAUCUCCACUGUGGAAGCUUUCAGGAAAAUAAUCUUUUGGCCUCAUAUUCAUGGCGAGAGGAUUCAGUGUACAACCCAGGGUGUCACCACGCAGCUUGUGUUGCUUUUACAUCGCCAAUUAGAAUGACUGAGACUGGCCAGUUUGAUGAUGCUGAAGAAUGAGGUUGCCCCAGGUCAGAACUAAAUUUGGCUUCUGAGUUGGACUGUGUUCUUCACUGAAUAAGUCAUGUCAAGCGCUUUGGCUUGCUUGCAGAAUUGUGUAUGAGGUCAGAAGUGCUGCACCAUCUCUGAAGUUUUUCUUAGGCUGUUCCUGAGGUGUAUGUAAGCUGGCCAUGCUUGACCUCUAGGAACCAGAGUGCAGGUGCUGGCUGUAAGGAGUCAUUCGUUUCUGGACUGCUCUUUGUGUUAUAUAGCUCUACAUUGUUGCUGAUGGACUGCUUGGGAGGAAGUAUUUGAUUUCUAAACAUCAGCUUGAUUGCCAAGUGUAGCCAGUUUUAUACAGGCUGACACACUGGGAUCAGCAUGUUAACUUGUAGUUUUCUUUCCUUUCCAUUUGAUGCUAUCAGAUUGGUUCAGAUAGCUUUAAAAACUCUUCUUCCUUUCAACUCCUGUAUUGUAAUGCUAUGUUGCAGUUUCUCACUCCCUAUCUAAUUCUGGUGUUUGACAAAAUUAGCCAUGACGCAUACAGAAUGAAUUGUUUUAUUUCUAUUUUUUUAUGCCUUUCAGUAUGAAUGAGUUCUAAGCAUUUGAUACACAUUUUGCUCUUACACUUGUGGACAUUAAUGAGGAUUGGAUAGUUGGGCCUGCUGUACCUAGUAAGAAUGCUGGGUGUUUAAGGCUCUGCCUUCCAGCAGAGCUUUCUGCACAUCAGACUUUCUUGUAUUUGGGUGUAUUGCCCUCCAGUCUUACAGUUGUCUUUAUGGCAUCCUCAUGUGAUGUCAGACAUGUAAUGAGGAAGAAAAUAUCAGUGCUUAUAUAGUGUCUUGCAGUAUAUGAUCUCAGCGUGUCCUGCAGAAAGUGUCAUGAACCUUAAUUCACUGCUGAUAUUUUUGUUGUGGUGGUGUUUGUGUUUUGAUAAGUGAGGAAAUGGCAACACAAAAUAUCUGCGAAAUGCCUCUUAAGGGAACAGCUGGAACUAGAACACUAUCCCCCUUGCCCUUGCUUUGGAGUUAAAGGAAAUGUUCUCAAAUGAAGUAUGUAAGUGGAUUGAGUGGCUGAUSGCUUAAGUAAUGUUUCAUUAAUAACUUUUCUUUCAAGAACUUUAAGAUGUUGUGUUUUGACACUGUUGAUACUGAAGCACAGUAGCCAUGUUUGUUUAUUCUCAGGCAAGGAGUUAACGUUUAGCAUUGGAAGAUUAUUUGUUUUUUAAUCAUUCAGUACAUGAGACUGAAAUAAUUUGAAAUAUUAGUUUGGAAGGAGGAAGUGAAUGACACAGUAAUAUUUCCUUAAUCUUUUCCUUGAGAGUAGAGGAGGACAAGAGCUUGGAAGAGUCUUUUCUGGUGCAUUGCAGCUUCUGGUUAAAUACUAGUACCUAGCAAACAAUCCAAGUAAAGGCUGGAAGCCUAGAGGUGAGGUUGCAGCGAAGACAAUUUGUUCUUUUAUUCCUGUGUGAUGGAGUGCUCUAAGGAGUAAUAUUUCCAUCAGAAGUUACUUCAGCAUGCUUCCAGGACACAUGCAUAUACAGCAAAAGCACACUCUAACUUUGUUCUUAGCCUUGCACAGCAGGAAAGUACUAGCUGUGCUCUCUGGCCUAGGAGGUGGGUUUUGUUCUAUGCCUGACUGCUGCGUGUUAGAGACAGUUCACUGCUCCUUAUGAUGAGUGGAGGUCUGCAUUUUAGUUAGGAGCUGCAUUUGCCUCUGUGGAACAGAAGUAAGAAUUGACUGUGCCAGACUCUUCAGGUUUGGAUAUAUAGCAGCGUCUUUCUCUUUCUAGAAAACAGAAAUGAAACUCAGAGUGUAACUAGGACUGACCACCAACUGAUUAAAGUUGCUGCUCUGCAUUUAUAAAUGCACUAUAAAUAAAUAUAUAUUGAGUACAGAUUAGUUUUGAAGU
This 3030-nucleotide long non-coding RNA is filed under the name Dromaius novaehollandiae (emu). Its description in RNAcentral is "lncRNA (ENSDNVG00000011707.1)". The record is from RNAcentral. Lineage: Eukaryota; Metazoa; Chordata; Aves; Casuariiformes; Dromaiidae.